This 301-nucleotide ribosomal RNA is filed under the name uncultured bacterium. RNAcentral's name for it is "partial 16S ribosomal RNA". It matches the Rfam family "Bacterial small subunit ribosomal RNA", at positions 509 to 809 of the family's 1533-position model. The record is from RNAcentral.
CAGUAGCCGCGGUAACACAGAGGGUGCGAGCGUUAAUCGGAUUUACUGGGCGUAAAGCGUGCGUAGGCGGCUUCUUAAGUCGGAUGUGAAAUCCCUGAGCUUAACUUAGGAAUUGCAUUCGAUACUGGGAAGCUAGAGUAUGGGAGAGGAUGGUAGAAUUCCAGGUGUAGCGGUGAAAUGCGUAGAGAUCUGGAGGAAUACCGAUGGCGAAGGCAGCCAUCUGGCCUAAUACUGACGCUGAGGUACGAAAGCAUGGGGAGCAAACAGGAUUAGAUACCCGGGUAGUCCCUGUCUCUUAUAA